This 748-nucleotide ribosomal RNA is filed under the name Serratia marcescens. RNAcentral describes it as "partial 23S ribosomal RNA". It matches the Rfam family "Bacterial large subunit ribosomal RNA", at positions 718 to 1462 of the family's 2925-position model. The record is from RNAcentral. Lineage: Bacteria; Pseudomonadati; Pseudomonadota; Gammaproteobacteria; Enterobacterales; Yersiniaceae.
AAACCCGGUGAUCUAGCCAUGGGCAGGUUGAAGGUUGGGUAACACUAACUGGAGGACCGAACCGACUAAUGUUGAAAAAUUAGCGGAUGACUUGUGGCUGGGGGUGAAAGGCCAAUCAAACCGGGAGAUAGCUGGUUCUCCCCGAAAGCUAUUUAGGUAGCGCCUCGUGAACUCAUCUUCGGGGGUAGAGCACUGUUUCGGCUAGGGGGCCAUCCCGGCUUACCAAACCGAUGCAAACUCCGAAUACCGAAGAAUGUUAUCACGGGAGACACACGGCGGGUGCUAACGUCCGUCGUGAAGAGGGAAACAACCCAGACCGCCAGCUAAGGUCCCAAAGUCAUGGUUAAGUGGGAAACGAUGUGGGAAGGCACAGACAGCCAGGAUGUUGGCUUAGAAGCAGCCAUCAUUUAAAGAAAGCGUAAUAGCUCACUGGUCGAGUCGGCCUGCGCGGAAGAUGUAACGGGGCUAAACCAUGCACCGAAGCUGCGGCAGCGACGCUUAGGCGUUGUUGGGUAGGGGAGCGUUCUGUAAGCCGUUGAAGGUGGCCUGUGAGGGUUGCUGGAGGUAUCAGAAGUGCGAAUGCUGACAUAAGUAACGAUAAAGCGGGUGAAAAGCCCGCUCGCCGGAAGACCAAGGGUUCCUGUCCAACGUUAAUCGGGGCAGGGUGAGUCGACCCCUAAGGCGAGGCUGAAAAGCGUAGUCGAUGGGAAACAGGUUAAUAUUCCUGUACUUGGUGUUACUGCGAAGG